RNAcentral lists this ribosomal RNA (499 nucleotides) under uncultured bacterium. RNAcentral's name for it is "partial 16S ribosomal RNA". It matches the Rfam family "Bacterial small subunit ribosomal RNA", at positions 28 to 507 of the family's 1533-position model. The record is from RNAcentral.
GAUGAACGCUGGCGGCGUGCCUAAUACAUGCAAGUCGAGCGAAUGGAUUAAGAGCUUGCUCUUAUGAAGUUAGCGGCGGACGGGUGAGUAACACGUGGGUAACCUGCCCAUAAGACUGGGAUAACUCCGGGAAACCGGGGCUAAUACCGGAUAACAUUUUGAACCGCAUGGUUCGAAAUUGAAAGGCGGCUUCGGCUGUCACUUAUGGAUGGACCCGCGUCGCAUUAGCUAGUUGGUGAGGUAACGGCUCACCAAGGCAACGAUGCGUAGCCGACCUGAGAGGGUGAUCGGCCACACUGGGACUGAGACACGGCCCAGACUCCUACGGGAGGCAGCAGGAGGGAAUCUUCCGCAAUGGACGAAAGUCUGACGGAGAAACGCCGCGGGAGGGAGGAAGGCUGUCGGGUCGUAAAACUCGGUUGUUAGGGAAGAACAAGUGCUAGUUGAAUAAGCUGGCACCUUGACGGUACCUAACCAGAAAGCCACGGCUAACUACGUG